UGUAUUUUGUGUUUUUGUUAUAUGUUUGGGUAGGCCAGGGUGUGACAUGGGUUUAUAUGUUGUGUUUCGUAUUGGGGUUUGUAUUAAUUGGGAUUGUGUAUGAUUAGGGGUGUGUCUAGUUAGGCUUGGCUGCCUGAAGCGAUUCUCAAUUGGAGUCAGGUGAUUCUCGUUGUCUCGGAUUGGGAACCGUAUUUAGGUAGCCUGAGUUCGCGUUGUAUUUUGUGGGUGUUUGUUCCUGUCUCUGUGUAGUAGUCACCAGAUAGGCUGUAAUUAGUUUCACGUUUCGUUUGUUGUUUUCUUAUUUCAGUUAUUUCAUGUACCGCGUUCUUUCAUUAAAGUCAUGAGUAACCUA
Oncorhynchus keta (chum salmon) is the source of this 352-nucleotide long non-coding RNA. RefSeq lists it as uncharacterized. The record is from RefSeq and is a predicted model, not a curated record. NCBI's taxonomy places the organism in Eukaryota, Metazoa, Chordata, Actinopteri, Salmoniformes, Salmonidae. The transcript has 2 exons.